CAAAUCAAGUGUAUAGAAUAGACCAUUAAAAGAAAAACUCUGACUACAUUAUUUUACUCUAUUCUUUUGAUUGUUAUCCAAUAAAUUGUUUGACGUCCUACCAGUCUUAUCACAAGGAGGAAAACGUUAGAAUCAAUAACUAACAACCGUUAUCUUUAUUGUACAGUAUGUUUACAUUCAUACUCUCAGUACACACAGAGAGGUCUACCUGAUAAGACUUGUACAUACUGAUUACCGACUUACGAGAUUCUACCAUGUGGAGGGCGGUUCUUGUUGUCUUAUUAGGCCUACUUCUGAGCCAACAAGUAUCCUGUCUGCCCCGGCCGGUAGCCGUACCAUCGCCUUCUGGCCGAGCCGACCCUGCCAUUUCCGCAUAUUACGCCCCUGCAGGCCCUGCUCCGGGACAUAAUUAUGAAGAAGAGCUUUUCUUGAGAAUGGGAAUAUAGUUUUAGUUAUUUUUUAACUUAUAACAGUUAAUAAUAAAUACUGUUGUAUUA
Long non-coding RNA from Macrosteles quadrilineatus (aster leafhopper), 497 nucleotides. RefSeq lists it as uncharacterized. The transcript has 2 exons. NCBI's taxonomy places the organism in Eukaryota, Metazoa, Arthropoda, Insecta, Hemiptera, Cicadellidae. The record is from RefSeq and is a predicted model, not a curated record.